This 808-nucleotide ribosomal RNA is filed under the name uncultured bacterium. RNAcentral's name for it is "bacterial SSU rRNA". It matches the Rfam family "Bacterial small subunit ribosomal RNA", at positions 19 to 823 of the family's 1533-position model. The record is from RNAcentral.
CUGGCUCAGGAUGAACGCUGGCGGCGUGCCUAACACAUGCAAGUCGAACGAAGCGUGCGGAUGGAAUUUCUUCGGAGAGGAAGCCUGCAUGACUGAGCGGCGGACGGGUGAGUAACGCGUGGGCAACCUGCCCUGCACAGGGGGACAACAGCCGGAAACGGCUGCUAAUACCGCAUAAGCGCACAGCUUCGCAUGGAGCGGUGUGAAAAGCUGCGGCGGUGCAGGAUGGGCCCGCGUCUGAUUAGCUGGUUGGCGGGGCAACGGCCCACCAAGGCGACGAUCAGUAGCCGGCCUGAGAGGGUGGACGGCCACAUUGGGACUGAGACACGGCCCAGACUCCUACGGGAGGCAGCAGUGGGGAAUAUUGCACAAUGGGGGAAACCCUGAUGCAGCGACGCCGCGUGAGCGAAGAAGUAUUUCGGUAUGUAAAGCUCUAUCAGCAGGGAAGAAAUUGACGGUACCUGAGUAAGAAGCUCCGGCUAAAUACGUGCCAGCAGCCGCGGUAAUACGUAUGGAGCAAGCGUUAUCCGGAUUUACUGGGUGUAAAGGGAGCGUANGCGGCCUGCCCAGUCUGAUGUGAAAUACCGGGGCUCAACCCCGGGGCUGCAUUGGAAACUGGCAGGCUGGAGUGUCCGAAAGGGCAGGCGGAAUUCCUAGUGUAGCGGUGAAAUGCGUAGAUAUUAAGAGGAACACCCGUGGCGAAAGGGGGCCUGCUGGACAAUGACUGACGCUGAGGUUCCAAAACGUGGGGAGCAAACAGGAUUAGAAUCCCUGGAAUUCCACGCCGAAACGAAGGAACAUUGGGUGG